CACAUGCAAGUCGAACGGAGUUUGUUGGAUCGAUCCUUCGGGUGAUUGAAAAUAAACUGAGUGGCGGACGGGUGAGUAACACGUGAGCAACCUGCCUUUCAGAGGGGGAUAACGUCUGGAAACGGACGCUAAUACCGCAUAACGUACCGAGUGGGCAUCCACUUGAUACCAAAGGAGCAAUCCGCUGAAAGAUGGGCUCGCGUCCGAUUAGGCAGUUGGCGGGGUAACGGCCCACCAAACCGACGAUCGGUAGCCGGACUGAGAGGUUGAACGGCCACAUUGGGACUGAGACACGGCCCAGACUCCUACGGGAGGCAGCAGUGGGGGAUAUUGCACAAUGGGGGAAACCCUGAUGCAGCGACGCCGCGUGAGGGAAGAAGGUUUUCGGAUUGUAAACCUCUGUCUUUAGUGACGAAGAUGACGGUAGCUAAAGAGGAAGCCACGGCUAACUACGUGCCAGCAGCCGCGGUAAUACGUAGGUGGCAAGCGUUGUCCGGAAUUACUGGGUGUAAAGGGAGCGUAGGCGGGAAGACAAGUCGGGUGUCAAAUCUAUCGGCUCAACCGGUAGCAGCACUCGAAACUGCCUUUCUUGAGUGAAGUAGAGGUAAGCGGAAUUCCUAGUGUAGCGGUGAAAUGCGUAAAUAUUAGGAGGAACACCAGUGGCGAAGGCGGCUUACUGGGCUUUAACUGACGCUGAGGCUCGAAAGCAUGGGUAGCAAACAGGAUUAGAUACCCUGGUAGUCCAUGCUGUAAACGAUGAUUACUAGGUGUGGGGGGACUGACCCCUUCCGUGCCGGAGUUAACACAAUAAGUAAUCCACCUGGGGAGUACGACCGCAAGGUUGAAACUCAAAGGAAUUGACGGGGGCCCGCACAAGCAGUGGAGUAUGUUGUUUAAUUCGAAGCAACGCGAAGAACCUUACCAGGUCUUGACAUCCUAUGACCGCCUAAGAGAUUAGGAAUUCCCCUUCGGGGACAUANAGACAGGU
Molecule: ribosomal RNA, 988 nt
Filed under: uncultured bacterium
Lineage: Bacteria
Description: bacterial SSU rRNA
Rfam family: Bacterial small subunit ribosomal RNA
Source: RNAcentral